GCUGGACGCAGUGGCAAGCUCCUGUAGUCCCAGCUACUCAGGAGGCUGAGACAGGAGGAUUGCUUGAGUCCAGGAGUUGUGGGCUAUAGUGCACUAUGCUGAUUGGGCUUCCACACCCAAGUUCGACAUCAAUAUGGUGAGCUCCCGGGAGUACGGGGCUGCCAGGUUGCCUAAGGAGGGGUGAACUUGCCCCAGGUCAGAAAUGGAGCAGGUCAAAACUCCCAUGGUGAUCAGUAGUGGGAUCUCACCUAUGGAUAACCGCUGCACUUCUGCCCAGGCAACAUAGCAAGACCCCAUUUCUA
Non-coding RNA from Otolemur garnettii (small-eared galago), 302 nucleotides. Lineage: Eukaryota; Metazoa; Chordata; Mammalia; Primates; Galagidae. The record is from Rfam.